RNAcentral lists this microRNA (22 nucleotides) under Heligmosomoides polygyrus. RNAcentral describes it as "hpo-miR-5976-3p". Lineage: Eukaryota; Metazoa; Nematoda; Chromadorea; Rhabditida; Heligmosomidae. The record is from miRBase by way of RNAcentral.
UAGAUUCGUGAUGUUGGACCGG